AAAUACAGGUUUUUAGAAAUGUUGAAAUACCUUUUUUACGUAAGUAUUCAGACCCUUUGCUAUGAGACUGGAAAUUAGCUCCUGUUCAUCCUGUUUCCACUGAUCAUCCUUGAGAUGUUUCUGCAACAUGACUGGAAUCCACCAGUUGUAUUUUCAACUGAUUGGACAUGAUUUGGAAAGGCACACACCUGUCUAUAUAAGGUCCCACAGUUGACAGUUCAUGUCAGAGCAAACAACAAACCAUGAGGUUGAAGGAAUUCUCCGUAGAGCUCCGAAACAGGAUUGUGUCGCGGCACAAAUCUGGGGAAGGGUACAAAAGCUCUCCUCAACAUUGAAGGUCCCCAAGAACGCACUGUUCUCCAUCAUCAUCAUUCUUAAAUGGAAGAUGUUUGGAACCACCAAGACUCUUCCUAGAGCUGGCCGCCCAGCCAAACUGAGCAAUCGGGGGAGAAGGGUAAAGGGUCUGGAUUCUUAUGUAAAUGUGAUAUUUCACAUUUUAUUUGUAAUGAAUUUGGAACAAUUCUGUUUUUGCUUUGCCAUUAUGGGCUAUUGUGUGUAGAUUGAUGAGGGAAAAAAAUGAUUUAUUACAUUUUUGAAUUAGGCUGUAAGGUAACAAAAUGUGGAAAAGGUGAAGGGGUCUGAAUACUUUCCGAAUGCACUGUAUAUGUGAUGUAUAAGUAAAUAGCGUUGACUCAUAAAGUAUGUAUGUCGUGAAUGUGAUCACUUUCAACAUGUCUGUUUCUUUUCUCCCGCAGAAUGUGAGAGAUGUGACCAACCGUCCACUCACUGAGUUCAUGGCUCCCUGUAUUGACUCCCUCCCACCGCUGGCUUUCACCAAUCGGAGGCCUAUACCAACCAUGUUACAUCCCCCCUCUCCAUUGGCCAUACGCACUCAGGAUGCACAGCGGUUCAUUGUAUUUUCAUACUUUGUCCCUGCUGAGUGCCCAGUUGCCACAGCAGAUGUAUCCACUGGUAAAAGAGAGGACUUAUUGACAGAUACGUAUCUUUCCUCAAUGCUGCAUCGACACCUGCCACACUUCUUUAACGAUGACUCCAUUCCACCACAGCAGACAGUAGAGGGAACCACUGAGCUCUCAGUUGCUCCAGUGGCAAUAUCUAAUAUAAAGGAAGAGGACAGAUUCUAUCCUUUCUCACUCCCACCACUGGCUCAGCGGUUCGUUGGCAAUUCAUUUAUUGUCCCAGAAACCUCCCAGCCUGCUGUUUCAGCCACAGAGUGCCGAGUUGCCAAAGAGGCCACUGCAGACACAGCCACUGUCAAGAGAGAGAACCGAUGGGCAGCCAGAAGUCUUCCUUCAGUGCUGCCUCCAUGCCUGCCACCAGUCUUUGACGAUGACUUCAUGCCUCCAGAGCAGACAGUAGAGGAUGCCUAUGAGGUCUCAGGUGCUACAGAGAACACUUCAGGCACAGCUACUGUUGAUGGAGUGGACAGAUCAACAGCUAAAUGCCCUGUCCCAAUGCUGCCUCCAAGUUUGCCACCUGUCUUUGACAAUGACUACAAACUGCCAGAGGAGGCAGUAGAGGGAACCAACAAGUGUCCAGUCGCCAGUGAAUCUGCCGCUUCCGUGUCCGCUGUCCACCAAGAGGAGUUUUCAGCUGAUAAGAGUCUUCCUGCACCCGCAGCACUGCCUCUAAGGCUGCCCUGCACCCACAGCAUUGACCACAAACAGCUGUGGGAGAAAGUUGAGGACAACACAGAGUUCUCAGUAGACAAAGAAGCAACUGUUGCCAUUUACACUUGGGAAGAUAAAAGUCCUUCAGUUCUGCCAUGCAUCCACAACAACAACGACCACCAUCUGCCAGAGGAGACAGUUGAGGACAACACAGAGUGCUCAGUUGACACCGAGGCAAGUGCAGUUGCAUCCACUGUCAAGAGAGAGGAACUGACAGGUGAUAAAAGCCCUGUCCGAACAAUUCCUCCAAUCCUGGGAUGCAUCCAUGACAAGGACCACAAGGAGUCAGAGCAGAAAGUGAAGGGCCCUAGUGAAGAGGUGGAUCUCUGCCCUCACGCUCACCAGCUGGACCCAGAUGUUAACUUAACUCUGGCAACCCGCAAUGAUGAACCCAGGACCUGGACCCUGGAAGAGGCAAAGGAUUAUUGGAUAGGCAUUGAAAUUGAGAGUGAAGAGAGGAGCGUCAAGGAGGAGGUGAGACAGAGGGAGGGAUUGAAGCGUGAGGCGGACUGUGCCCAUUCCAUGAGCUCCAAUGGGAUGGCUUCAUCAGAGAGAGCAGAGACUAUCCUUGGAAGAGUGGGCUUUCUGGUCAUGAACCACAUGCAGAAAAUCCCAUUUUUGAAGAUGAAGGAAAAAGAGAAAAAUAAGAAACUGCAUAAGAAGUUGAAAGAUGAUGAGAAAGAGAGAAAGGAGAAGAAAAACAAGGAGGAGGAGAACAAAAAGAGGGAGAAGAAAGAGAUGAAUGAGAGAGAGAAAGAGCAGAAGAAAGUCAUGAAGGCUGAGAAAAAGAGGGAGAAGUUAGAACAGAAAAAGAGAGAGAAGGAAAGAAAAGAGAAGGAAAAGGCAGAGAAAAAGAGGUUAGAGGGGCUGAUGAAGAUACAUAAUGACAUGAUGAAAGACAGGAUUAAGAAAGAGAAGAGGUGUUCUGAGGAGCUGAAAAAGAGAGAGAAAGCUCAAGCUGAGUUCUUGGAGAUGGAGAGAAAGAUUCAAGAAAAGGAGGAGAAGAAGAGAGAAAAGAGGAGGAAAGAGGAGAGGAAGAGACUAGAGAAUAAGAAAAAGAGGGAGCCAGCUGGAGGUGGAACUGAGAGGGUGAUAGAAUAG
Molecule: long non-coding RNA, 2792 nt
Filed under: Oncorhynchus mykiss (rainbow trout)
Lineage: Eukaryota; Metazoa; Chordata; Actinopteri; Salmoniformes; Salmonidae
Description: lncRNA (ENSOMYG00000071334.1)
Source: RNAcentral